Podarcis lilfordi (Lilford's wall lizard) is the source of this 78-nucleotide non-coding RNA. NCBI's taxonomy places the organism in Eukaryota, Metazoa, Chordata, Lepidosauria, Squamata, Lacertidae. The record is from the annotation of a GenBank genome assembly.
GCUGGACUCUUUGCUGGUCUUGGAUAGAGCAUGAGACUCUUAAUCUCAGGGUCAUGGGUUUGAGUCCCACAUUGAGCA